Molecule: ribosomal RNA, 253 nt
Filed under: uncultured bacterium
Lineage: Bacteria
Description: partial 16S ribosomal RNA
Rfam family: Bacterial small subunit ribosomal RNA
Source: RNAcentral
UACGUAGGGUGCGAGCGUUAAUCGGAAUUACUGGGCGUAAAGUGUGCGCAGGCGGCCGAGCAAGUCGAGUGUGAAAGCCCCAAGCUUAACUUGGGAACUGCGCUCGAAACUACUUGGCUAGAGUGUGGCAGAGGGAGGUGGAAUUCCACGUGUAGCGGUGAAAUGCGUAGAGAUGUGGAGGAACACCGAUGGCGAAGGCAGCCUCCUGGGCCAACACUGACGCUCAUGCACGAAAGCGUGGGGAGCAAACAGG